This 314-nucleotide unclassified non-coding RNA is filed under the name plant metagenome. Its description in RNAcentral is "partial contains 5.8S ribosomal RNA, internal transcribed spacer 2, and large subunit ribosomal RNA". The stretch from base 1 to 105 matches the Rfam family "5.8S ribosomal RNA", at positions 50 to 154 of the family's 154-position model. The record is from RNAcentral.
GAAAUGCGAUAAUUAAUGUGAAUUGCAGAAUUCAGUGAAUCAUCGAGUCUUUGAACGCACAUUGCGCCCCCUGGUAUUCCGGGGGGCAUGCCUGUCCGAGCGUCAUUGCUGCCCUCAAGCACGGCUUGUGUGUUGGGCUUCCGUCCCUGGCAACGGGGACGGGCCCAAAAGGCAGUGGCGGCACCAUGUCUGGUCCUCGAGCGUAUGGAGCUUUGUCACCCGCUCCCGUAGGUCCAGCUGGCAGCUAGCCUCGCAACCAAUCUUUUUAACCAGGUUGACCUCGGAUCAGGUAGUGAUACCCGCUCAACUUAAGC